Molecule: ribosomal RNA, 467 nt
Filed under: uncultured bacterium
Lineage: Bacteria
Description: partial 16S ribosomal RNA
Rfam family: Bacterial small subunit ribosomal RNA
Source: RNAcentral
GACGAACGCUGGCGGCGUGCUUAACACAUGCAAGUCGAACGGAAAGGCCCUGCUUUUGUGGGGUGCUCGAGUGGCGAACGGUGAGUAACACGUGAGUAACCUGCCCUUGACUUUGGGAUAACUUCAGGAAACUGGGGCUAAUACCGGAUAGGAGCUCCUUCUGCAUGGUGGGGGUUGGAAAGUUUCGGCGGUUGGGGAUGGACUCGCGGCUUAUCAGCUUGUUGGUGGGGUAGUGGCUUACCAAGGCUUUGACGGGUAGCCGGCCUGAGAGGGUGACCGGCCACAUUGGGACUGAGAUACGGCCCAGACUCCUACGGGAGGCAGCAGUGGGGAAUAUUGCACAAUGGGCGGAAGCCUGAUGCAGCAACGCCGCGUGCGGGAUGACGGCCUUCGGGUUGUAAACCGCUUUCGCCUGUGACGAAGCGUGAGUGACGGUAAUGGGUAAAGAAGCACCGGCUAACUACGUG